UGGGGAAUUUGGACAAUGGGCGAAAGCUUGAUCCAGCAAUGCCGCGUGUGUGAAGAAGGCCUUCGGGUUGUAAAGCACUUUUGUCCGGAAAGAAAUCCUUGGCUCUAAUACAGUCGGGGGAUGACGGUACCGGAAGAAUAAGCACCGGCUAACUACGUGCCAGCAGCCGCGGUAAUACGUAGGGUGCAAGCGUUAAUCGGAAUUACUGGGCGUAAAGCGUGCGCAGGCGGUUUGCUAAGACCGAUGUGAAAUCCCCGGGCUCAACCUGGGAACUGCAUUGGUGACUGGCAGGCUAGAGUAUGGCAGAGGGGGGUAGAAUUCCACGUGUAGCAGUGAAAUGCGUAGAGAUGUGGAGGAAUACCGAUGGCGAAGGCAGCCCCCUGGGCCAAUACUGACGCUCAUGCACGAAAAGCGUGGGGAGCAAAACAGGAUUAGAUACCCUGGUAGUCCACGCCCUAAACGAUGUCAACUAGUUGUUGGGGAUUCAUUUCCUUAGUAACGUAGCUAACGCGUGAAGUUGACCGCCUGGGGAGUACGGUCGCAAGAUUAAAACUUAAAGGAAUUGACGGGGUCAUAGCUGUUUCCU
Molecule: ribosomal RNA, 586 nt
Filed under: uncultured bacterium
Lineage: Bacteria
Description: partial 16S ribosomal RNA
Rfam family: Bacterial small subunit ribosomal RNA
Source: RNAcentral